GCUAACACAUGCAAGUCGACGCGGAAACGACACUAACAAUCCUUCGGGUGCGUUAAUGGGCGUCGAGCGGCGGACGGGUGAGUAAUGCCUAGGAAAUUGCCUUGAUGUGGGGGAUAACCAUUGGAAACGAUGGCUAAUACCGCAUAAUGCCUACGGGCCAAAGAGGGGGACCUUCGGGCCUCUCGCGUCAAGAUAUGCCUAGGUGGGAUUAGCUAGUUGGUGAGGUAAUGGCUCACCAAGGCGACGAUCCCUAGCUGGUCUGAGAGGAUGAUCAGCCUCACUGGAACUGAGACACGGUCCAGACUCCUACGGGAGGCAGCAGUGGGGAAUAUUGCACAAUGGGCGAAAGCCUGAUGCAGCCAUGCCGCGUGUAUGAAGAAGGCCUUCGGGUUGUAAAGUACUUUCAGUUGUGAGGAAGGGGGUAGUGUUAAUAGCGCUAUCUCUUGACGUUAGCAACAGAAGAAGCACCGGCUAACUCCGUGCCAGCAGCCGCGGUAAUACGGAGGGUGCGAGCGUUAAUCGGAAUUACUGGGCGUAAAGCGCAUGCAGGUGGUUCAUUAAGUCAGAUGUGAAAGCCCGGGGCUCAACCUCGGAACUGCAUUUGAAACUGGUGAACUAGAGUACUGUA
This 628-nucleotide ribosomal RNA is filed under the name uncultured Vibrionaceae bacterium. RNAcentral describes it as "bacterial SSU rRNA". It matches the Rfam family "Bacterial small subunit ribosomal RNA", at positions 46 to 653 of the family's 1533-position model. The record is from RNAcentral. Lineage: Bacteria; Pseudomonadati; Pseudomonadota; Gammaproteobacteria; Vibrionales; Vibrionaceae.